This 372-nucleotide ribosomal RNA is filed under the name uncultured organism. Its description in RNAcentral is "bacterial SSU rRNA". It matches the Rfam family "Bacterial small subunit ribosomal RNA", at positions 526 to 896 of the family's 1533-position model. The record is from RNAcentral.
CGUAGGGUCCAAGCGUUAUCCGGAAUCACUGGGCGUAAAGCGUGCGUAGGUGGCGCGUUAAGUGAGAUGUUAAAUCGUGUGGCUCAACCAUAUCGAUGCAUCUCAUACUGGCGUGCUAGAGGACAGCAGAGGCAAGUGGAAUUUGUAGUGUAGCAGUGAAAUGCGUAGAUAUUACAAGGAACACCAAUGGCGAAGGCAGCUUGCUGGGCUACUCCUGACACUGAGGUACGAAAGCGUGGGGAGCGAACAGGAUUAGAUACCCUGGUAGUCCACGCCGUAAACGAUGCAUACUAGUCUUAUGGGGUAUCGGCCCCCUGUGAGACGAAGCUAACGCGAUAAGUAUGCCGCCUGGGAAGUACGGCCGCAAGGCUA